Molecule: transfer RNA, 72 nt
Filed under: Loxodonta africana (African savanna elephant)
Lineage: Eukaryota; Metazoa; Chordata; Mammalia; Proboscidea; Elephantidae
Rfam family: tRNA
About the family: Transfer RNA (tRNA) molecules are approximately 80 nucleotides in length.
Source: Rfam by way of RNAcentral
UUCUGGGUGGUGCAAAUGGUUAACGUGUUUGGCUGCUAACCAAAAGGUUGGAGGUGUGAAUCCACCCAGAAG